CCUACGGGAGGCAGCAGUGGGGAAUAUUGCACAAUGGGGGAAACCCUGAUGCAGCGACGCCGCGUGAGCGAAGAAGUAUCUCGGUAUGUAAAGCUCUAUCAGCAGGGAAGAAAAUGACGGUACCUGACUAAGAAGCCCCGGCUAACUACGUGCCAGCAGCCGCGGUAAUACGUAGGGGGCAAGCGUUAUCCGGAUUUACUGGGUGUAAAGGGAGCGCAGGCGGCGGGGUAAGUCUGAUGUGAAAGCCCGGGGCGCAACCCCGGGACUGCAUUGGAACCUGUCGUGCUGGAGUGGCGGAGGGGCAAGUGGAAGUCCUAGUGUAGCGGUGAAAUGCGUAGAUAUUAGGAGGAACACCAGUGGCGAAGGCGGCUUGCUGGACGACAACUGACGCUGAGGCUCGAAAGCGUGGGGAGCAAACAGGAUUAGAUACCCUUGUAGUC
Molecule: ribosomal RNA, 440 nt
Filed under: uncultured bacterium
Lineage: Bacteria
Description: partial 16S ribosomal RNA
Rfam family: Bacterial small subunit ribosomal RNA
Source: RNAcentral